UACGAAGGGGGCUAGCGUUGUUCGGAAUUACUGGGCGUAAAGCGCGCGCAGGCGGCUAUCCAAGUCAGUGGUGAAAGCCCGGAGCUCAACUCCGGAACUGCCAUUGAAACUGUUUAGCUUGAGGACGAGAGAGGUGAGUGGAAUUCCCAGUGUAGAGGUGAAAUUCGUAGAUAUUGGAAAGAACACCGGUGGCGAAGGCGGCUCACUGGCUCGUAUCUGACGCUCAGGCGCGACAGCGUGGGGAUCAAACAGG
RNAcentral lists this ribosomal RNA (253 nucleotides) under uncultured bacterium. RNAcentral describes it as "partial 16S ribosomal RNA". It matches the Rfam family "Bacterial small subunit ribosomal RNA", at positions 524 to 776 of the family's 1533-position model. The record is from RNAcentral.